This 199-nucleotide ribosomal RNA is filed under the name uncultured Lactobacillus sp. RNAcentral's name for it is "partial 16S ribosomal RNA". It matches the Rfam family "Bacterial small subunit ribosomal RNA", at positions 334 to 525 of the family's 1533-position model. The record is from RNAcentral. Lineage: Bacteria; Bacillati; Bacillota; Bacilli; Lactobacillales; Lactobacillaceae.
UACUCCUACGGGAGGCAGCAGUAGGGAAUCUUCCACAAUGGACGAAAGUCUGAUGGAGCAACGCCGCGUGAGUGAAGAAGGUUUUCGGAUUGUAAAACUCUGUUGUUGGAGAAGAAUGUAUCUGAUAGUAACUGAUCAGGUAGUGACGGUAUCCAACCAGAAAGCCACGGCUAACUACGUGCCAGCAGCCGCGGUAAUA